CUUACUUAAAUUGUAGGGUAGAAUUUUUAUUUAGGGAAGAGUGAUCAAUAAUAUUAAACAUGGGAUUUAUUUUUUGGACCAGGAUUAGAUACCCUGUUACUUUUAAUGAAAAAAUUUUGGAGUAGUAAUGUUAAUGAAAUUUAACGGAUUUGGCGGCAAGAUAGCCCCUUAGAGGAACCUGCCCUGUAAACGAUGAACCACGAGGGACUCUACUUUCUUUGGUAGUCAGUUUGUAUAUCGCUGUUGUCAGUUAGAUUCUUGAGAAUAUUUUCGUUUAUGAAAAGUUCAUUGACUUCAAGUAAAGGUGCAGCUUAUAAGGAAGAUAGAGGUGGGUUACAUUUAUGAGAAUAAAACGGAAAGGAUGGAUGAAACAAUCCUUGAAGGUGGAUUUAACUGUAAAACUUAAGUAGGUUUGGUGAGAGCUCUAUCUUGUGUACACACCGCCCGUCGCUCUCUUUUCAAAAC
Molecule: ribosomal RNA, 465 nt
Filed under: Tetraclita serrata
Lineage: Eukaryota; Metazoa; Arthropoda; Thecostraca; Balanomorpha; Tetraclitidae
Description: partial 12S ribosomal RNA
Source: RNAcentral